Molecule: ribosomal RNA, 492 nt
Filed under: uncultured bacterium
Lineage: Bacteria
Description: partial 16S ribosomal RNA
Rfam family: Bacterial small subunit ribosomal RNA
Source: RNAcentral
AGUGAACGCUGGCGGUAGGCCUAACACAUGCAAGUCGAACGGCAGCACAGUAAGAGCUUGCUCUUACGGGUGGCGAGUGGCGGACGGGUGAGGAAUACAUCGGAAUCUACUUUUUCGUGGGGGAUAACGUAGGGAAACUUACGCUAAUACCGCAUACGACCUACGGGUGAAAGCAGGGGAUCUUCGGACCUUGCGCGAUUGAAUGAGCCGACGUCGGAUUAGCUAGUUGGCGGGGUAAAGGCCCACCAAGGCGACGAUGCGUAGCUGGUCUGAGAGGAUGAUCAGCCACACUGGAACUGAGACACGGUCCAGACUCCUACGGGAGGCAGCAGUAGGGAAUAUUCGACAAUGGGCGAAAGCCUGAUCCAGCAAUGCCGCGUGAGUGAUGAAGGUCUUCGGAUUGUAAAGCCCUUUUGUUGGGAAAGAAAAACAGCGGAAGUAACUCCCGCUGUUCUGACGGUACCCAAAGAGAAAGCACCGGCUAACUACGUG